Molecule: ribosomal RNA, 470 nt
Filed under: Epicauta sp. CND671
Lineage: Eukaryota; Metazoa; Arthropoda; Insecta; Coleoptera; Meloidae
Description: partial 28S ribosomal RNA
Source: RNAcentral
GGUAAACCUGAGAAACCCGAAAGAUUGAACGAGAAGAUUCAGCGUAUCUCAUCUUCGGUCAUAGAUAGUUUGUGUGACGAAAUUUUGACUUGUCAAAAUUUUGCACCGGCCGUUUAUGUUUAUCGUUGGUGAAUGCGUGCACUUCUUCUCUAGUAAAACGUCGCGAUCCGUUGAAUAUUGAUCUAAGAGUUUCAAUGGAGUCUGUUCAGUAUGCAUGCUUUUAGUAUGUUUUAUUGUACAAACUUGGAAUUUCUGAUCAAUUAAUUCGACGGUAUUAUUUAAUUAAUGUAAAAGUGUAAAGUCGCUUAUAAAGCGUUUGAUAUUGUGACAAGCAUAUUCGUGUUUGAUUAGUUAUCGGAUUUAAUGCCGAUGCUAAUCCCGGAUUGUUGUUAGUUACAAUUAUCUCAAACAGACAUAAAACACAAAUCUGCGACGCUAAAGUUUUGGGUAAUUUCAGGACCCGUCUUGAA